GUCUCGUUGGUGUAGUUGGUUAUCACGUCUGUCUAACACACAGACGGUCGUCGGUUCGAAUCCGACACGAGACA
Molecule: non-coding RNA, 74 nt
Organism: Geosiphon pyriformis
Lineage: Eukaryota; Fungi; Glomeromycota; Glomeromycetes; Archaeosporales; Geosiphonaceae
Source: the annotation of a GenBank genome assembly